GUCUAUUAACAAAAAGCUGGCUUGAUACAAUCCUGCUGUAACAGCCCUAGGAGCACAGUCCUGGUGCCAGGACUAAGCAGGGCUGGGUGAGGUUCAGAGGUUUCCUUGCAGGGAGAGUUAGAGAGAGGGCCUGUGUGAGAAGAGGGCAUUGGGGUGAAGAGCUGGAAGAUUAAGGGAGCUGGAAUUUAGCUAGUGGCUGCAGAGGAUGUUACAGUCCAGAGGGACUAGCCAGGGUGCAGGCUCCCAACAGGACAGCGAGAAGGGACUGUUCCUCAGCCAUCAUUAGUGUCUAGGCAUGAAGUUCAGAUGAUGGCCAGCAAGCAGUGGAUGUGGAAGUCUGGGCUUCAGUGAAGUCAGAGGUUUGAUAAUGAGAAUCAUGGGUGUUUUAAACAUUUGCUGUUUUUAAGUUCUAUGUGGAUGUGUGUGCUUGCAUGUGGGUGUGGGCACACGAGUGUUAUGCUCACGAAGGCCAAAAGUGUCAGAUCUCCUGGGUUACAGACAGUUAUGAGCCUCCUGACAUGGCCGCUGGGAACUGAACCCAGGUCCUCUGGAAGAGCAGCCAGUGCUCUUGACCCCUGAGCUAUGGCUCCAGCAUAUGCAUGAGCAUUUGAAAGGGUCCACGCUCUCCAGAGUGGGUAGGAUGAACUGGGGAGAAAGUGAAGGAGAGAGCAGCCCGUGCAGGGGUCAGCUGUGUGUGUGUGUGUGUGUGUGUGUGUGUGUUAUGUUUGUGUGUGUGUGUGCACUCGCACACGCGUGCGCACUCACGCUCAACGCCCCUGUGCAUGUGCGUCUGUGGAAUGAGCUGCAUGUCAGGGAGUGUGGUAAGGGGACCCAGGGGAGGUAUUUCAAGAAGCAAAUGUUCCAGUCUAUUCCAGCUGCCAAGAGGUCCAUUAGGAGAGGACAGAGGGACUGUAUGAUUCAGUGGCUUGGAAAUCAUGUGACCAGACACACCCAUUCCCCCGAAGUGAGGCAGGUUGAGGAGCAAGUGCAAUUGAAGACAGUCGGCAAACACAGAACUCCAUGUUUCAGUCUCUCUCUCUCUCUCACACACACACACAAUUCUCUCACAUGUGGGGUUUCUGUCUCUUUCACACACAGAAUUCUCUCUCUCUCUCUCUCUGUCUGUCUGUCUCUCUUUUUCACACACACACACACACACACACACACACAGGGUUCCUUCUCUCACACAAAGAACUCUGUCUGUCUCUAUCUCUGUCUGUCUGUCUCUCUGUUUCUCUCUCUCCCUCUCCCUCCCUCUCUCUCUCUCUCCCUCUCCCCCCCCCUCUCUCUCACACACACACACACAGAGGCAAGGAGAGUUCUGAGUCAAGAAAAGGAGGGUGUCUUGAGACAGAAGAUGGAUCAUUAGGCGUGUGGAGUUUACCUCUCAUGAUAGAAAGUCCUGUAAUGACAGUGUUCCCAUAGAGAGUACUGUUGACUUCCCUGGCCGUGCUAGUGAGUGGAGCUGGAGUUCAUGGUCAUGUUUGCAGGACUCCAAGUGCUUAAGAGAAUCUGUAAGCGGAGACCAGAGGCCGACAAAGGAAGACUUAUUGUGGUGAACGAGUGGAUGGGCACGUCUGUUCAUGUCUGAGACACGUCUCUGUUGAGUUUAGCUCUGUAGCGUGUGCUUUUUGUGGAAAGCAGCCUUGUGAGUUACAAUAGAGGCACUCCUUAAGUCAUGGAUCUCUUAGCUGAGGUUCACAGACCUGCAGUCAGCAGCCCAAGGGACCAUGUCUGGCAAGUGGCAGAAGUGGGUUUCAAUGAAUUUAUUUUAUGUGUAUGAGUGUUUUGCCUGUAGGUGUGUCUGUGUACUACAUGUGUUCCCGGUGCCCGAGGAGGCUGGAAGAGAGCGCUGGAUCCCCUGGAACUGGAGUCACGGGUGUUUGCAAGCUGCUGUGUGGUUUCUGGGAAUUGAACCUGGGUCCUCUGCAAAAGGAGCCAGUGCUCUUAACCACUGAACCACCUCUCCAGUCCCAGAACUAGACUUUUGAACAGGCAUUUUGACUCCAGAGUGUAUGUAUUUCAUUCUUCCUGCAGCCCACCGAGAACAUGUAGACUUUCCAGACCGAAUGCAUAUCUAAUUAUAAAUGCUAGCCUGUGGGAAGAUAAGGAAGAGACCACGCAUUAACCAUACAGUAGCCCCACAGACUAGAGAUUAUUAAGUAAAUUAUGAUUAUUUAUUGAGUGAGUUAUAGGACUAGUACACACAAGCAGAUUAAGAAAGGAAGAAGCUAUUUGAGAAGCACACGGCCUACUCCGUACACCAGGAAGCACAGCCCGCCUGUUCCCAGUGGCAUCUCCUAUUCUCAAGCAGUAUCCAGCCUAUGUGUCUGUGGCUUAAAGAACAGCAGAUAAAGCAUGGGGAUCUUUAUGACAUCCGCACAGGCUGUAGCUCACGUGGUCCAGGAGACACCAUGACAUGAGUCAAACCGUCAAAGAGUAAAGACUCACGGGAUCUCAGUGACACAAUCUGAAGUCACAAAAACAGAAAAAGGGGACGUAGUGGGACGUGCGUACCUUUAAAGAAAGUUAAUCAGAAAGCAGAGAAAACAUAAACACAGAGUCCAAGGUAACGACUGCUUACAGGGAAAAGACGGGAGAGAAGCUAAGCCCUGAGAUGUCGGGGACUCUGGGGUACCCCCACUGCUGAUUGCUAGAUGGGCUGGUAGGUACACGGCUUAUUUUUCGUGGCUGUGAUAAAACCCCACAGCCAAAGGUGAUUUAUAGAAAAAAGGAGUUUAUUUGGGUUUGUGGUUCCACAGGGAGGAGCCGUAGUGGUGAAGGAGUCAUGGCAGCAGGGGCCAGAGCAGAGCCGAGAGACCGCAUCUUCAGAACAGCAGACAGGAAAAGAGUGGACAGGAAGAGGGACAACGCUAUAAGUGCACAAAGCCUGAUAUCAUCAAGGUCCACCACCUCACCGAACGGCCGAGUGGGGGACAUUUCCCAUCCAGACCACCCCAGUGUGCAUACAGAUGUUUGCCUAGAAAUACUUUUAAUACUGUAUGAAGGGACUCCGGCCAGGGAACCAGGCUCGGAACCGCUAGCGUUCCUGUCCCGCCUCAUCAACGUGUCUCCUCGCACACCCUUCUCACCAGUUGGGGUCCUCAUACUUCAUUACAGAAAGCAGAGCCACUCGUGAGGAAAGAAAACAUUGGAAGGAAGUGCCUGGGGCAGCAGAGUUUCAGCGCACUGGUACGGUGUUCAGGCUCUUUAGGUGCGCACUUCAGACGCCCAGCACCCGCUGACUCAGAGAAGUGCUGCGGUGGGACUGUCUGUAGAAAGUUCCCGCAGCUUGAGAAGCCCUCAUAAAGACGGAGACCAUUGGUGUUUCAAGGGAGCUGCUAGUUCAAGAGAUGAAUCCAAAAGGAACUCCUUCGGAGAUGAUUAGAUCAGCCACGUCCAGCAGAUGAAGAUCAACCAGUGCCACAUUUAUUCUAUGUGCCAUGAACGACCCACACGCCUUCUCACUGAUGGGAGCUCGUUGGGAGGGAAACCUAGAAUUCUGAACGGGAAGAUGACCUUACUGCUCUCAGGUGACUCCACGCAAACCCUCUAUUUGUACUUUGAGGGGGCAAAGAGCCAAAUGCACUCCGCGUUUCUGUUUGUUUUUGAGACGGAGUCUCACUGUAUGUCUCACUGGCCACCCUGAUACGGGAGAUCCUCCUGCCUCCGGUUUCUGAGUGCUAGCAACUGCAGGCAUAUAGCAUUACACCUGGCCCAAAUGCAUUUUAAAAAAUGUUAAUUUUAUGUGUAUAGAUGUUAGCCUGCACAUUUGUAUGCACCUCUAGAGGCCAGAAGAAGGCAUUGGGUCCCCCCUGGAACUGGAAUUAUAGAUGGCUGCCAGCCACGGCAUUGAUGUUGGGCACCAAAAGCAACACGAGAUCUUUUUUUUUUUUUUUUUUUUGGUUCUUUUUUUCGGAGCUGGGGACCGAACCCAGGGCCUUGCGCUUCCUAGGCAAGCGCUCUACCACUGAGCUAAAUCCCCAACCCCCGCAACACGAGAUCUUAACUAUUGCGUCACUUUCCCUAUCCCAGCCUAGUGCGUUCCUGCUUGCUUUCUUCCUUCCUUCCUUCCUUUCUUUUUUUGUUCAAAAGAACAGGCCUACUUUUUGUGGGUAUGAAGAAUCCCGCAUUAGAUUAAAUAUGUCUGCCUGGAUGUAGGGAGGUCUCAGUUUACAGAUGUGGAGGUUCCAGCCAAUGAUCUUUGCCCUUUUGCUGUGUGUUUGCAGCAGGGCAGCAUGUCAUGGAGGGAGCCCACAGGGAAGAUGGGCUCCUAUGUCCAGGAGACAAACAGGAAAAUGGAUGAGAGUCCCACGGCCCCCUUUUCCUCCCUUCAGUAAUUCAGGACCCACCUUAUAAAGCUUACAUCACCUCACAGUGGCGCCACCCCCCAACCAUAGGUUUGACAAUUUAGGAAGAUAUUUGGACAAUAGCCUCCACAGAUGUCUGCAUGUGCGUGCAUACACACACACACACACACACACACACACACACACAGAAAGACACAUACAGAGAGAGACACACACACACACACACACACACAGAAAGACACAUACAGAGAGACACACACACAGACACAGACACACACACACACUCACACAGAGAGGCACACACAGACACAGACACACACAUAGAUACACACACAGACACACACGCACACAGAGAGAGACACACACAUAGAUACACACACACUAACACACACAGAGACACACAUAGAUACACACACAGACACACACGCACACAGAGAGAGACACACACAUAGAUACACACACACUAACACACACAGAUACAUACACACACAGACACAGACACACACAUAGAUACACACACACAGACACACACGCACACAGAGAGAGACACACACAUAGAUACACACACACUAACACACACAGAGACACACAUAGAUACACACACAGACACACACGCACACAGAGAGAGACACACACAUAGAUACACACACACUAACACACACAGAUACAUACACACACAGACACAGACACACACAUAGAUACACACACACAGACACACACACUAACACACACACAGACAAAUACAUACACACAAGUCCCCCCUCCCCCCCAAGUGCUCAUGGGCAAGGGCGAACAAUGGCCACAUGGAUUUCUGCAUAGAGCACAUUCUUGGGGACAGGAGUGCGCAGGAACCAGAGAGACCACUGUGUAGGGCGCUCUCUGAAUAGGAAGGCAGACACAGCCCUAAGAGAUGUGACAUCUUCCAGAGGUUUUAUAUGAUUCUCAGAGUCUAUAGCUUUCUCUAAAGGACGUUUUCCUGCCCCUCGUGAUAGAUAAACCUGUUUGGACCAAUCUCUAAGGGAGUGGACAAGUGUAUUUGUUCUGUGCUGCAAAGCCUCCAGUUAGACAGUCAUCUCAUGACUCUCUGGGCAGCUCAGACAAUUACAAAUCAGACCCGGUAUGGUCACAGCUCUCUACCGUCAGCUCCUGGUUUUACAGGCUGCUGAUUGUGAAACCUGGGGGCCAUCGCCGAUGACCUUCAAGCCCUCUAACCUUCCACCAAAUACCUCUCCCCUCUGCCACAUUAAUUCAACAGGCAAUUUCCUUGGGGAUAAAGGAGUGUCUCCUUUACUCUGAGACUGUGGCCACCGUGCUCCCAGAGUUUUUGGAGAAGCCUUUUAUUACGCCGAGCAGCCUUGGCGUGGCCCGGGACGUGUCUUCUAUGUCUUCUAGAUUCAUGGCCCCCAACGUGAGGAUUCUCCGACUGGGCGAACCUCUCGGCACGGACAGCCUUCACCACUCCACUGAUGCCAUUGACCUCCACGUGCAGUUCGUCUCAUGGAUUCUUAUUUCUGGAUCACCUUUGCAUUUAAAGACAUCAUAAAAUCGGUUUUAUGUAUUUUGAAA
Molecule: non-coding RNA, 5876 nt
Organism: Rattus norvegicus (Norway rat)
Lineage: Eukaryota; Metazoa; Chordata; Mammalia; Rodentia; Muridae
Source: RefSeq, a predicted model, not a curated record